GGAAGUGGAUCGUGCAGAGCAAGCAUCACACCAUGGCGUAUGAGUGUUCCUCUGUGUAGACUCAACCUGCGCCUCGCCGUCCCCCAUUCGCACACCCGAUGCCCGGGGGUCGCUACGGACUUGAAAUCGCCGCACCGCACCCUCCACCUCAGAAACGUUCUGGAUCCGAACACUGCCCCCCGACAACCUAGAGAGAUCCCAGCUCCCAGCCCACUGAGUGGCUUCAGCCUCGCUGGCACCUCCAAACUCCUGGCCCCUCUGCACCAGGCGCCUGCCCUGGGCCCCACCUACAGGGGACCCAGCUCUUCUAGCAGCUGCUGGAAGCUGAUCACCUGCAGUGAAGGCCUCACACGAAGAAGUCUGGAAGAAGAGGAAGAGGAAAGAAAAGGAGUCAGGGAUGGCCCUUACUCAGAUUCCAUCUCCCGCGACCCAGUGACAUGAGCUUGGGAAGAGGCUGCACUGGGCAUGGUCCUGGGAAGGGCUCACACCCAGACAUGGAUGGAGACGGGGUGAGGGUCCCAUGGUGUCAGUGCUGUUGGGCAGCAGGGAUUGUUCAGGGGCCACAUCUGGAUGCACUGUCAG
RNAcentral lists this small RNA (582 nucleotides) under Pongo abelii (Sumatran orangutan). RNAcentral's name for it is "processed transcript". The record is from RNAcentral. Lineage: Eukaryota; Metazoa; Chordata; Mammalia; Primates; Hominidae.